This 184-nucleotide ribosomal RNA is filed under the name Klebsiella pneumoniae. RNAcentral's name for it is "partial 23S ribosomal RNA". It matches the Rfam family "Bacterial large subunit ribosomal RNA", at positions 2763 to 2925 of the family's 2925-position model. Lineage: Bacteria; Pseudomonadati; Pseudomonadota; Gammaproteobacteria; Enterobacterales; Enterobacteriaceae. The record is from RNAcentral.
GAUAAGUGCUGAAAGCAUCUAAGCACGAAACUUGCCCCGAGAUGAGUUCUCCCUGAGACUUUAAGUCUCCUGAAGGAACGUUAGAAGACGACGACGUUGGAGUAGGACCGGGUGUGUAAGCGCAGCGAUGCGUUGAGCUAACCGGUACUAAUGAACCGUGAGGCUUAACCUUACAACGCCGAAG